CUUCACCGAGCCCAGCAGCAACGCCUGUUCGUCGGAACCCGGCGUACGUGCCCGUCCGUACGUGGCCAGCAGCGCGUCCGCCUC
This 84-nucleotide antisense RNA is filed under the name Embleya hyalina. RNAcentral describes it as "ASpks TB sRNA". It matches the Rfam family "ASpks TB sRNA". The record is from RNAcentral. Lineage: Bacteria; Bacillati; Actinomycetota; Actinomycetes; Kitasatosporales; Streptomycetaceae.